RNAcentral lists this ribosomal RNA (573 nucleotides) under uncultured bacterium. Its description in RNAcentral is "partial 16S ribosomal RNA". It matches the Rfam family "Bacterial small subunit ribosomal RNA", at positions 355 to 913 of the family's 1533-position model. The record is from RNAcentral.
UGGGGAAUAUUGCACAAUGGGCGCAAGCCUGAUGCAGCCAUGCCGCGUGUGUGAAGAAGGCCUUCGGGUUGUAAAGCACUUUCAGCGAGGAGGAAGGUGGUGAACUUAAUACGUUCAUCAAUUGACGUUACUCGCAGAAGAAGCACCGGCUAACUCCGUGCCAGCAGCCGCGGUAAUACGGAGGGUGCAAGCGUUAAUCGGAAUUACUGGGCGUAAAGCGCACGCAGGCGGUUUGUUAAGUCAGAUGUGAAAUCCCCGGGCUCAACCUGGGAACUGCAUUUGAAACUGGCAAGCUAGAGUCUCGUAGAGGGGGGUAGAAUUCCAGGUGUAGCGGUGAAAUGCGUAGAGAUCUGGAGGAAUACCGGUGGCGAAGGCGGCCCCCCUGGACGAAGACUGACGCUCAGGUGCGAAAAGGCGUGGGGGAGCAAAACAGGAUUAGAUACCCUGGUAGUCCACGCUGUAAAACGAUGUCGAUUUUGGAGGUUGUGCCCUUGAGGCGUGGCUUCCGGAGCUAACGCGUUAAAUCGACCGCCUGGGGGAGUACGGCCNCAAGGUUAAAACUAAAUGAAUUGC